UACGUAGGGGGCAAGCGUUGUCCGGAUUUAUUGGGCGUAAAGAGCUCGUAGGUGGUUCGGUAAGUCGGAUGUGAAAUCUCCAGGCUCAACCUGGAGGGGUCAUUCGAUACUGCCGUGACUAGAGUUCGGUAGGGGAGUGUGGAAUUCCUGGUGGAGCGGUGAAAUGCGCAGAUAUCAGGAGGAACACCGGUGGCGAAGGCGCCACUCUGGGCCGAAACUGACGCUGAGGAGCGAAAGCGUGGGUAGCAAACAGG
This 254-nucleotide ribosomal RNA is filed under the name uncultured bacterium. Its description in RNAcentral is "partial 16S ribosomal RNA". It matches the Rfam family "Bacterial small subunit ribosomal RNA", at positions 524 to 776 of the family's 1533-position model. The record is from RNAcentral.